RNAcentral lists this ribosomal RNA (292 nucleotides) under uncultured bacterium. Its description in RNAcentral is "partial 16S ribosomal RNA". It matches the Rfam family "Bacterial small subunit ribosomal RNA", at positions 505 to 796 of the family's 1533-position model. The record is from RNAcentral.
GUGUCAGCCGCCGCGGUAAUACAGAGGUCUCGAGCGUUAAUCGGAAUCACUGGGCUUAAAGCGUACGCAGGCGGACCGGUAAGUACUUUGUGAAAUCCCCCGGCUCAACCGGGGAACUGCUUGGUAUACUGCCGGUCUGGAGCAUGGUAGAGGCGGUCGGAACGAUAGGUGGAGCGGUGAAAUGCGUAGAUAUCUAUCGGAACGCCGAAGGUGAAGACAGGCCGCUGGGCCAUUGCUGACGCUCAUGUACGAAAGCGUGGGGAGCGAACGGGAUUAGAAACCCCGGUAGUCC